This 252-nucleotide ribosomal RNA is filed under the name uncultured bacterium. RNAcentral describes it as "partial 16S ribosomal RNA". It matches the Rfam family "Bacterial small subunit ribosomal RNA", at positions 524 to 776 of the family's 1533-position model. The record is from RNAcentral.
UACGUAGGUCCCGAGCGUUGUCCGGAUUUAUUGGGCGUAAAGCGAGCGCAGGUGGUUUAUUAAGUCUGGUGUAAAAGGCAGUGGCUCAACCAUUGUAUGCAUUGGAAACUGGUAGACUUGAGUGCAGGAGAGGAGAGUGGAAUUCCAUGUGUAGCGGUGAAAUGCGUAGAUAUAUGGAGGAACACCGGUGGCGAAGGCGGCUCUCUGGCCUGUAACUGACACUGAGGCUCGAAGGCGUGGGGAGCAAACAGG